This is a non-coding RNA of Chiloscyllium plagiosum (whitespotted bambooshark), 1267 nucleotides long. Lineage: Eukaryota; Metazoa; Chordata; Chondrichthyes; Orectolobiformes; Hemiscylliidae. The record is from RefSeq and is a predicted model, not a curated record.
GUUGAGUGUAGUUUGCUGGAAUCACACAGCUGAUCUGCAGCAGUUCUGUUUCAGUAAAGAGAAUUUCAAGCAGUACGCUGUUUAUAUUAAAAGAUCACCUCAAUUUUGUAAUUUUCUUGGUGAAUGCUGACAACCCAUUGAUUCAAUUUAUGCUUCACAGAAUUUGAUUCCAAAGGAAGCCUGAUGAAAAUGCAGAACGGUAUCAAGGAUUUUACACUUUUUGACUUGGAUGGUGAAAGCAAACUCUAUGUGGUUGAUUCGAUAAACAAUUUGCACAGGGCAAAUACCUGUGAAGACCCCUGUGACCCAACGUCAAAGUCAGCAGAAUGUGGAAGUGUUGCUGAUGAAACUGAAGCACCCACGAAGGAAUUGUUGAAAAAUAAUGAGAAAAACGAGCCUGAAGUUGCUUGUUCCACUGAAAGAGAAAAUCCAUGGUGAUGUGAACAGGCAGCCUGUUAAAUAACAGUCCAACAACAGUUAAUUCUACAAAAACUGAUCCUCCGUCUUGCUUUCGGCAUUUGAAGAAAAUGUUACUGCUUGCUACUGUAAUCAUACUUCUUCUGGUCAGCUUUGCACUUGCUGCGCUUGCUAUCUUUUUUAUUGUAAGAAUGGAGAAUCAGCUUAAUUACAUUUCAACAAGAGUGACCUCAGAAGAGAGAAAUAUUAAAGACAUCAAGAUUCUCAUGAUGAACCAUUUCAAUGUUUCAAACGAGCUAAAUGAUAGUAACGUAGCUGGAAUAUCUUCCAUCUCUAACAUACAAAGCCCAUGAUGAGAAGAAUGUAAUUGAAAGGCAUCAAUGACUUAUAAAGUCUGCAGGUUUUAAAGACUCCAAUGAAAACUAAAACAUCCAACAUGAUGCCUCAGUUUACAUAAUCUUCUUCAAACUAUGUCUAUUGUAUUGUCAACUGUGGUGCUGGAAGAAUGCCUAAGCCCAGUCACAUGGAUUCCUUCAAGAAACAUUAAAGAAUAACAAACCCUUCGCAGUGAAUGCAAUUAUAAAUGUGAUCCAUUGCAAAUGUUCCAGCUAAUUAAACUGAAUCAGCCAUUGACUGACUACAGUCACCUGACCCAGCAGAAUAAACUGAUUUGAAUUACAGAACAAGAAAUCCAAAAGGAAUUAAGUCACAAUGCUGCAUGGCAGUUAAUUCCUUUUUACAGGAGUCUGUUUAAUUCUAAACAAUCUCUCAUUUACUUCCCAAUGCAAGUAUCAAUCUAUGAAUGAACUUUGGUAUUAAAGUGUUCUAUAUGAAACUAAUAGCAACCAAA